GAUGAACGCUGGCGGCGUGCCUAAUACAUGCAAGUCGAGCGAACAGACGAGGAGCUUGCUCCUCUGACGUUAGCGGCGGACGGGUGAGUAACACGUGGAUAACCUACCUAUAAGACUGGGAUAACUUCGGGAAACCGGAGCUAAUACCGGAUAAUAUAUUGAACCGCAUGGUUCAAUAGUGAAAGACGGUUUUGCUGUCACUUAUAGAUGUAUCCGCGCCGCAUUAGCUAGUUGGUAAGGUAACGGCUUACCAAGGCAACGAUGCGUAGCCGACCUGAGAGGGUGAUCGGCCACACUGGAACUGAGACACGGUCCAGACUCCUACGGGAGGCAGCAGUAGGGAAUCUUCCGCAAUGGGCGAAAGCCUGACGGAGCCACGCCGCGUGAGUGAUGAAGGUCUUCGGAUCGUAAAACUCUGUUAUUAGGGAAGAACAAAUGUGUAAGUAACUAUGCACGUCUUGACGGUACCUAAUCAGAAAGCCACGGCUAACUACGUG
This 497-nucleotide ribosomal RNA is filed under the name uncultured bacterium. RNAcentral's name for it is "partial 16S ribosomal RNA". It matches the Rfam family "Bacterial small subunit ribosomal RNA", at positions 28 to 507 of the family's 1533-position model. The record is from RNAcentral.